RNAcentral lists this transfer RNA (73 nucleotides) under Camelus bactrianus (Bactrian camel). It matches the Rfam family "tRNA". From Rfam's summary of the family: Transfer RNA (tRNA) molecules are approximately 80 nucleotides in length. Their secondary structure includes four short double-helical elements and three loops (D, anti-codon, and T loops). Further hydrogen bonds mediate the characteristic L-shaped molecular structure. tRNAs have two regions of fundamental functional importance: the anti-codon, which is responsible for specific mRNA codon recognition, and the 3' end, to which the tRNAs corresponding amino acid is attached (by aminoacyl-tRNA synthetases). tRNAs cope with the degeneracy of the genetic code in two manners: having more than one tRNA (with a specific anti-codon) for a particular amino acid; and 'wobble' base-pairing, i.e. permitting non-standard base-pairing at the 3rd anti-codon position. The record is from Rfam by way of RNAcentral. Lineage: Eukaryota; Metazoa; Chordata; Mammalia; Artiodactyla; Camelidae. RNAcentral also lists the same sequence under 2 other names.
GAGGGAAUAGCUCAAGUGGUAAAGUGCAUGCCUAGCAUGCAUGAGGUCCUGGGUUCAAUCCCCAGUGCCUCCA